UACGAAGGUCCCGAGCGUUGUUCGGAUUUACUGGGCGUAAAGAGUCUGUAGGCGGUAAAGUAAGUCAGAUGUGAAAUCCCGAAGCUCAACUUCGGAACUGCAUCCGAUACUGCUUUACUAGAGUAUUGGAGGGGGAACUGGAAUUCUCGGUGUAGCAGUGAAAUGCGUAGAUAUCGAGAGGAACACUAGUGGCGAAGGCG
Molecule: ribosomal RNA, 200 nt
Filed under: uncultured bacterium
Lineage: Bacteria
Description: partial 16S ribosomal RNA
Rfam family: Bacterial small subunit ribosomal RNA
Source: RNAcentral